GAUGAACGCUGGCGGCGUGCCUAACACAUGCAAGUCGAACGAAGCGCCCUUUAAGAUUCUUCGGAUGAUUGAUCGGUGACUGAGUGGCGGACGGGUGAGUAACGCGUGGGCAACCUGCACUGAACAGGGGGAAAACAGUUGGAAACGGCUGACAAUACCGCAUAAGGGCACGAGGUGACACCCCCCUGUGUGCAAAACUCCGGUGGUACAGGAUGGGCCCGCGUCUGAUUAGCUGGUUGGAAGGGUAACGGACUACCAAGGCGACGAUCAGUAGCCGGUCUGAGAGGAUGAACGGCCACAUUGGAACUGAGACACGGUCCAAACUCCUACGGGAGGCAGCAGUGGGGAAUAUUGCACAAUGGGGGAAACCCUGAUGCAGCAACGCCGCGUGAGUGAAGAAGUAUUUCGGUAUGUAAAGCUCUAUCAGCAGGGAAGAUAAUGACGGUACCUGACUAAGAAGCUCCGGCUAAAUACAUGCCAGCCGCCGCAGUAA
Molecule: ribosomal RNA, 493 nt
Filed under: uncultured bacterium
Lineage: Bacteria
Description: partial 16S ribosomal RNA
Rfam family: Bacterial small subunit ribosomal RNA
Source: RNAcentral